GAUGAACGCUGGCGGCGUGCCUAAUACAUGCAAGUCGAGCGAACAGACGAGGCGCUUGCUCCUCUCACGUUAGCGGCGGACGGGAGAGUAACACGUGGAUAACCUACCUAUAAUACUGGGAUAACUUCGGGAAACCGGAGCUAAUACCGGAUAAUAUAUUGAACCGCAUGGUUCAAUAGUGAAUGACGGUUUUGCUGUCACUUCUCGAUGGAUCCGCGCCGCAUUAGCUAGUUGUUAAGGUCACGGGCUACCACGGCGACGAUGCGUAGCCGACCUGUGAGGGUGAUCGGCCGCAUGGGAACGGAGACAGGGACCAGAGUACUACGGGAGGCAGCAGUAGGGAACCGUACGCAAUGGGCGAAAGCAUGACGCAGCAGCGCCACGUGAGUGAUGAAAGUGCUCGGAUCGUAAAACUCUGCUAUGGGUGGAGAACAAAUGUCUAAGUAACUGUGCACUGAUUGACGGUACCUAAUCAGAAAGCAACGGCUAACUACGUG
Molecule: ribosomal RNA, 497 nt
Filed under: uncultured bacterium
Lineage: Bacteria
Description: partial 16S ribosomal RNA
Rfam family: Bacterial small subunit ribosomal RNA
Source: RNAcentral